ACCCAUAGUCCCACACGCAUAACACUCUCUCUCUCUCUCUCUCUCUCUCUCUCUCUCAGAGAUCUCGGCACUUCAACACAAAUUAACCCUAAUUGUUUUUUUUCCUUCAUUUUUAUACGAUCUCAGUUCAUCUGUUGAUCAAAUCGUUGCGGAUUAAGUGGAAGCCAUGAUAUAAUUUCCUUCCUCUCCUUGUUAAUUUCUUCAAUUUAAGAAACUCCAAUUUCGCUGGUUUUUGUUCAACUCCAUCUAUGUCACCUUCGUCAUCGCCGGUGCUUUCGUUGGUGAACGGAUUAUGAACCAGAUGAACACCAGAGCCAUACUACUGUCGUCACAUCUAGAGAUAUUUAAGUUCUUCGUUCAAGGUGGAUUUCCAACAUAGCAUAGCUAUUUGCCUAGUGCUUUAAAAGGUGAAUCCUUCAGUCCUUCCCGAUAAGGUAACUUGUAAUCUGCUGGUUAGACCUUUAGUUUUAAAUUUUUUUUAUUAAUGUGCAGCUGGUGAAUUGACGGAGGCUUCCUCUUUACAGGAAUUAUAAUAGUGAAUUCAUUAAACCAUUUUUAAGUUUUUUCCUUAGCCUUGAUGUUAUUCAUCUAAGUUUACUUGAACUGAGAUAUUUUGCUUAUAAUUUGUAGUAAUAUUGUGUUGUAAUAAUUAAUAUUAUGCAUUUUGUCUCUCUAGCUGUUUUUUCCCUUGUAUUUUAUAUUUUGAAGUUACUUUUUGUAUACUAAUGAUUCUAUGACAUAGCUUAAGCUACAUCAGAGAGAAAUAGAAAUGAAUUAUGUGGAUAUCUAUCUGAAUGGAAUAUCCCAUAUAUUGUCAUGGUAAUGCAUCUCCAUUGUUCAACUAGAUUUUUUCCAUCAAUAUUUCUCGCCAUCCCUUGUUUCUUCUAAACAUCAAUAUCAUCAAAAUUAGAACAAUAAGUUGUAUAAAUAUUGUUGUUGUCGCUGCAGGAUUCUGACCACAUGGUUGUUGACCACAAUAUCAGUGCUAUUAUUAAUCCACGAUGUUGUUGUUGUAUGUCUCCCCAAGAUAAACUGAACAACUAGUUCUUGCUUUAGGAUUCAGAAACAUCAGAGGGUUUGCGAUGAAUUCAAGGCUAACAAUGAGUUAUUGGUCGACACUUUGUUUUACGCCCUUUUGCAAGCACAUUAAGGAGCAGCUAAAUUAGAGAUAGGUUGCAAUUUUUUUUGUAAAGAAAUGAGCAUAUUUGUUCCACUACCACUAGUCACGAAUAAAGUGUAACUUUGAAAUAUAGUGGUUGUAUUUCUCAUUACUAUGAGAUAAUUUAAUUGUACAUAUACUAUAAUAUAUUUAUAUAUGCAAUAAAAAAAAACUGCCAUAAUUUUGCUUUCUCUA
Chenopodium quinoa (quinoa) is the source of this 1354-nucleotide long non-coding RNA. RefSeq lists it as uncharacterized. Lineage: Eukaryota; Viridiplantae; Streptophyta; Magnoliopsida; Caryophyllales; Amaranthaceae. The transcript has 4 exons. The record is from RefSeq and is a predicted model, not a curated record.